RNAcentral lists this transfer RNA (73 nucleotides) under Echinococcus granulosus. RNAcentral describes it as "transfer RNA-Arg". It matches the Rfam family "tRNA". Rfam says of the family: Transfer RNA (tRNA) molecules are approximately 80 nucleotides in length. Their secondary structure includes four short double-helical elements and three loops (D, anti-codon, and T loops). Further hydrogen bonds mediate the characteristic L-shaped molecular structure. tRNAs have two regions of fundamental functional importance: the anti-codon, which is responsible for specific mRNA codon recognition, and the 3' end, to which the tRNAs corresponding amino acid is attached (by aminoacyl-tRNA synthetases). tRNAs cope with the degeneracy of the genetic code in two manners: having more than one tRNA (with a specific anti-codon) for a particular amino acid; and 'wobble' base-pairing, i.e. permitting non-standard base-pairing at the 3rd anti-codon position. Lineage: Eukaryota; Metazoa; Platyhelminthes; Cestoda; Cyclophyllidea; Taeniidae. The record is from RNAcentral.
GUCCUGGUGACCCAAUGGAUAAGGUGUCGGUUUCCUGAGCCGAAGAGUGUGGGUCCAAGUCCUUCCCAGGACG